UACGUAGGGGGCUAGCGUUGUCCGGAAUCAUUGGGCGUAAAGCGCGCGUAGGCGGUCCGGUAAGUCCGCUGUGAAAGUCGGGGGCUCAACCCUCGAAUGCCGGUGGAUACUGUCGGGCUAGAGUGCGGAAGAGGCGAGUGGAAUUCCUGGUGUAGCGGUGAAAUGCGCAGAUAUCAGGAGGAACACCAAUUGCGAAGGCAGCUCGCUGGGACGUAACUGACGCUGAGACGCGAAAGCGUGGGGAGCAAACAGG
RNAcentral lists this ribosomal RNA (253 nucleotides) under uncultured bacterium. RNAcentral describes it as "partial 16S ribosomal RNA". It matches the Rfam family "Bacterial small subunit ribosomal RNA", at positions 524 to 776 of the family's 1533-position model. The record is from RNAcentral.